UAGGGAAUAUUGGUAAUGUGCGAAAGCGCGAACCAGCAACGCCGCGUGCACGAUGAAGGCCUUCGGGUCGUAAAGUGCUUUUAGAGAGGAUGAGGAAGGACAGUACUUUCUGAAUAAGCCUCGGCUAACUACGUGCCAGCAGCCGCGGUAAAACGUAGGAGGCUAGCGUUAUCCGGAUUUACUGGGCGUAAAGCGCAUGCAGGUGGUUUUGUAAGUUGGAUGUGAAAGCUCCUGGCUUAACUGGGAGAGGUCGUUCAAAACUACAAGACUUGAGAUUGGUAGAGGAAAAUGGAAUUCCGGGUGUAGUGGUGAAAUGCGUAGAUAUCCGGAGGAACACCAGUGGCGAAAGCGGUUUUCUGGACCAAUUCUGACACUCAGAUGCGAAAGCUAAGGUAGCAA
RNAcentral lists this ribosomal RNA (399 nucleotides) under uncultured bacterium. Its description in RNAcentral is "bacterial SSU rRNA". It matches the Rfam family "Bacterial small subunit ribosomal RNA", at positions 355 to 771 of the family's 1533-position model. The record is from RNAcentral.